RNAcentral lists this ribosomal RNA (110 nucleotides) under Pseudokeronopsis flava. RNAcentral's name for it is "5.8S ribosomal RNA". It matches the Rfam family "5.8S ribosomal RNA", at positions 4 to 115 of the family's 154-position model. From Rfam's summary of the family: 5.8S ribosomal RNA (5.8S rRNA) is a component of the large subunit of the eukaryotic ribosome. It is transcribed by RNA polymerase I as part of the 45S precursor that also contains 18S and 28S rRNA. The record is from RNAcentral. Lineage: Eukaryota; Ciliophora; Spirotrichea; Urostylida; Pseudokeronopsidae.
UCUCAACGAUGGAUAUCUUGGUUCCCACAACGAUGAAGAACGCAGCGAAGUGCGAUAAGCAAUGCGAAUUGCAGAACCGUGGGUCAUCAGAUUUUUGAACGCAAUUGGCA